RNAcentral lists this ribosomal RNA (327 nucleotides) under uncultured eukaryote. RNAcentral's name for it is "partial 18S ribosomal RNA". It matches the Rfam family "Eukaryotic small subunit ribosomal RNA", at positions 1470 to 1796 of the family's 1831-position model. The record is from RNAcentral.
CCCUUAGAUGUUCUGGGCCGCACACGCGCUACACUGAAGGAGGCAGCGUGUACUCCUGGAUCGAAAGAUUUGGGUAACCCGCGAAUCUCCUUCGUGCUAGGGAUUGAGGUUUGCAAUUAUCCUUCAUGAACGAGGAAUUCCCAGUAAGUGCAAGUCAUAAGCUUGCGCUGACUACGUCCCUACCCUUUGUACACACCGCCCGUCGCUACUACCGAUUGAAUGAUUUAGUGAGGACUUCGGACUGGGACCGAUGCGGCUUUCGGGCUGCGUCGGUAUUCUGGAAAGAUGUCCAAACUGUAUCAUUUAGAGGAAGUAAAANUCGUAACA